RNAcentral lists this long non-coding RNA (625 nucleotides) under Ananas comosus (pineapple). Its description in RNAcentral is "long non-coding RNA (ACOM_LNC034043)". Lineage: Eukaryota; Viridiplantae; Streptophyta; Magnoliopsida; Poales; Bromeliaceae. The record is from RNAcentral.
GACAAGACAGUGUCUGUCACGCCCCGCCCCGAAACCACUACCAAUUUGGCACGAUUCGGCUGCGGCGACGGACCGCCAAGCGGACAGCACCUCUCCUGUCCGCCCAAGGCUCAACAACAGGAAUGUGUACCAGAAUUUACCCAGGACUUUAAAUUCUAAACAUACACAUUCAACGAGGGCACCAACAGUGCCAACAACAAGAAGAGCAAGUAAUCCAUAAGAUAUACGAGUGAAAUAAAGAGAGUACUUUACUAACUAUUACAACAGUUGCAUUCUUUACAUUUACAUCAUUUUCCAAAAUGAAUACAUUCGAUCCUCAAAAUACAUAGCUCUCCAACCUCACCUACAUAAAUCUCUCUCAAUACAUAGGUGUGCUAAUGCAAAAGGAAAGCUACUAUACUACCACGGCCUCACUGAUCGGGCGCGAUGCCCUUGCCGCGGUCCUCCCUCGACAAUCCUGAACCUACCACUGGAAAUAGAGUGGGGUGAGAACUAUCUUCCAUAGUUCCCAGUGGGCUCGGCCGCCGACUCUGCCGAUCUCCCCACUAGGUCCAAGUGGGCACAAGUAACAACAGAUAGAUAGAUAGAUAUGUAUCUGAAAGCUGUAAAUGCAGUAGUAGGAAAA